This 388-nucleotide ribosomal RNA is filed under the name uncultured bacterium. RNAcentral describes it as "bacterial SSU rRNA". It matches the Rfam family "Bacterial small subunit ribosomal RNA", at positions 975 to 1375 of the family's 1533-position model. The record is from RNAcentral.
CAGGGCUUGACAUGCAGUCGCACCACCCGUUAUGGGGUGUACCCGCAAGGGACGGCUGCACAGGUGCUGCAUGGCUGUCGUCAGCUCGUGUCGUGAGAUGUUGGGUUAAGUCCCGCAACGAGCGCAACCCCCAUCGUCGGUUAUAGGUGUCCGGCGAGACUGCCUCGAUCAACGGGGAGGAAGGUGGGGAUGACGUCAAGUCAGCACGGCCCUUACGUCCUGGGCGACACACACGCUACAAUGGCCGGAAACAACGAGUUGCCAACCCGCGAGGGGGAGCUAAUCUCAGCAAACCUCGUCUCAGUUCAGAUUGUAGGCUGCAACCCGCCUGCAUGAAGUUGGAGUUGCUAGUAACCGUGAGUCAGCACAUCACGGUGAAUACGUUCCC